GAUGAACGCUAGCGGGAGGCCUAACACAUGCAAGCCGAGCGGUAUUGUUUCUUCGGAAAUGAGAGAGCGGCGUACGGGUGCGUAACACGUGUGCAACCUGCCUUUAUCUGGGGGAUAGCCUUUCGAAAGGAAGAUUAAUACUCCAUAAUAUAUUGAACGGCAUCGUUUAAUAUUGAAAGCUCCGGCGGAUAGAGAUGGGCACGCGCAAGAUUAGCUAGUUGGUGAGGUAACGGCUCACCAAGGCGAUGAUCUUUAGGGGGCCUGAGAGGGUGAUCCCCCACACUGGUACUAAGACCCGGACCAGACUCCUACGGGAGGCAGCAGUAAGGAAUAUUGGUCAAUGAGUGCAAGCCUGAACCAGCCAUCCCGCGUGAAGGACGACUGCCCUAUGGGUUGUAAACUUCUUUUGUAUAGGGAUAAACCUACCCUCGAGAGGGUAGCUGAAGGUACUAAACGAAUAAGCACCGGCUAACUCCGUG
Molecule: ribosomal RNA, 479 nt
Filed under: uncultured bacterium
Lineage: Bacteria
Description: partial 16S ribosomal RNA
Rfam family: Bacterial small subunit ribosomal RNA
Source: RNAcentral